UAUUAGGUUAGCCUGGGCAACAUAAGACGACCCUUUCUCACAAAUAAAUGUUUGCCCUUCAGUCGGCAGCAGUGUAUGUAACACAGUUUAAAAACAUUCCAUUACUAUCCAUUAUUAAUUGUGACAUCACCAGUAGUCCCUUUAGGGGACAAUCUCUUGUAUUCAGGAGAACCCUAGAAUCACCUGUGAUGUCACCAGUGUUGUGGUGACACCAGCAGCCUAUGGAGAAUCCCUUUAGAGCCUAUUAUUUUUGCAAGCAGGCAUGUUGUUCAGGCUGCUUAGGCUAUUUUGAAGUGAGAAUGGAAAACAAGGAGAGGCCAUAUCAAGACAGAAGGAGGCUGACCUUCUAUCAUGCUGUAGAACAACAAGAAAGCAAUGGUCCUGGGGAAGGUCCAGUGAGUCCUGGGCAGGGUUUGGGGAGCUUCCUGGAGGAGGAAAGCUUAUGCUGGUCCUUCCAGGAGUAGGACUUAUGAUUUGAACCUCAGUCUUCCUAAAUGGCAGACCCAGACUCAAUAAUUUCUGCAGAUCAAUUUGGCAGAGAGCCGGGAAUUGACAUGUGUCAAUCUGCUUUCCUCAGAGCUCUUUACUUUCAUACUGAGUGGGCCUGGAGGAGUCUCUGUGAGAAUAACAGAGUGUUGCUGUCAGGAUAGUGUUGAAGCACUUCAUCCUAAGCAUAUUCUGUAGGAUACAUGAGUAUGUGAUGCCAAGAGCAAAGAGGAAUACUCUCCUGGUCAUGUCAGACAGACCUCACCACGUUCUCAGACACUUUGGUCUUGAACAAACAUGAUUAGGGCUUGGGUGCUAAUCAGUAUGGAUUCCAAGAAUUCCCUGCAUCACAUCAAACAUGAGCUAACAAUGUCCUUCAAUUCUUCUUGCCUGGGCCAGCUGAUACAUUUCAGAGCCAGGGAGAUGGCAGUAGGGUGUGAGGCAUAUGUCUACCUAUGGUGCUUGGGAACAGGGACAUAGCUGAGGAGCCCAGCUUGAAGAUAACUUUCCUGCUCUUUCAGGGAUUCAUUAGUGUCUCUAGCAACACUUCUUCCUCAGAUUUCUAUUUGGGACUAAGCAUGGUUUCUCCUGGCCCUGUGCCAUCAUCUAUGCAAGUUUACUAGUGUUUAUCUAAAUACAGGAUCUACUGGAAGGCAUAAUCCCAACCCUCCACCAUCUCUAAGGAGGAGGAGAGGUUGAAGAGGUUGGAGAAUCUGACAAUCUCCAGAAGAUGACAAAUGGGAGGGAUGAACUCUGGGGAAUCCUGGCCCAUUACACUAACAAGGAUUUGAACAACAACAGAUCUCAACUUCUCCCCUAAGAAGCAGUAUGUAAGCUAAGUGCCACCAUGAUGGGCACCACAGCACGAGGUAGAGCCUGGACUGCCACCGUGAGAGAUGGGCACCACCGCACAAGUUACAGCCUGGACUUCAGGAGAGAACCCCGCAGGACUCAUAUGGUUGGUCGAAUCACUAAUGUAUUUGCACCAGCCGACCUGGGAUGACUGCCAACAGCUUCUGUAGACCUUAUUCACCACAGAGGAGAGAGAAAGGAUUUUCCUCGAGGCUCAGAAAAACAUCCGAGAUGAGGUUGGGCAGCCUGUCCAACCUCCAGCCAAGAUAGUUGAAGGAUUCCCGCUAACCCAGCCCCGAUGGGAUUACAAUACAGCACAAGGUUACAUCCCAACAGCCAGCCUUUGUUCGCUUUUGAAUGGCGAGAUUCUGAGAGUGGACAAGCUGGACAGCUCACAUGGACGAGGUUGCCUCAGGGAUUCAAGAACUCGCCCACCUUGUUGGAUGAAGCACUACACCGAGACCUUGCCCCCUUCCGAGCCAGUAACCCACAGGUGACUCUUCUGCAGUAUGUAGAUGACCUCCUACUAGCUGCAGAAACAUGUGAGGACUGUGAAACUGGGACUCAAAACCUCCUGGUCGAGCUAGGUUAGCUGGGGUAUCGGGUCUCUGCUAAAAAGGCUCAGUUAUGCCGGACAGAAGUGACCUACUUAGGAUAUGUUCUGAGAGAUGGACAACAGUGGCUCACAGAAGCCAGAAAACAAGCCGUUAUGCAGAUCCUGGCCCCAACCACUGCUAGCCAGGUAAGAGAGUUCCUGGGGACUGCUAGGUUUUAUAGACUCUGGAUUCCCAAAUUUGCCACUCUGGCAGCCCCAUUGUACCCAUUAACCAAAGAAAAAGGAGAGUUCAUCUGGACCAGAGAACAUCAGCUAGUCUUUCAAACUCUCAAAAAGGCGCUACUGCAGGCUCCAGCAUUGGCCCUGCCAGAUGUGAGCAAGCCUUUUACCUUAUACAUUGAUGAAAGAAAUGGGGUGGCAAGGGGAGUCCUUACCCAGCUUUUGGGGCCAUGGAAGCACCCAGUAGCCUACUUAUCAAAGAAGCUGGACCCUGUGGCCAGCGGAUGGCCCUCCUGCCUGCAAGUGAUAGCAGCCACGGCUGUGCUAGUAAGAGAUGCUUACAAACUGACUAUGGGCCAGAAUGUUACCAUAGUGGCCCCGCACUCUCUUGAGAGCAUUGUCAGGUAACCACUGGACCGCUGGAUGACUAACGCCAGAAUGACGCACUACCAGAGCCUAUUGCUGACAGAGCAAGUAAGUUUUGCACCCCCAGCCAAUCUCAACCCUGCUACUUUACUACCUGAGGUUGACGAGGCCCCUGCACAUAAGUGUGAGGAAAUACUGGCAGAAGAGACUGGAAUCUGGCCAGACUUCACAGACCAACAUUGGCCAGGGGAGAUGACCUGGUUCACUGAUGGAAGCAGCUUCGUGGUAGAAGGUAAGCGGAGGGCUGGGGCAGCAUUAGUGGAUUAGUGGAAAGUCUGUCAUAUGGGCCAGCAGCCUGCCGGAGGGUACAUCAGCUCAAAAAGUGGAACUUAUCUCACUAAUUCAAGCCUUAAGGCUGGCAUAAGGAAGGACUCUUAAUGUCUAUACCGUCAGCCGGUAUGCUUUUGCCACGGCCCAUGUUCACAAAGCAAUAUACCAACAUCAUGGACUGCUAACGUCUGCCAGCAAGGAUAUCAAAAAUAAAGAAGAAAUUCUCAGCUUAUUAGAAGCUGUCCAUCUGUUCCAUAGAGUGGCAAUUAUCCAUUGCCCAGGACACCAGAAGGGAACGGGGCCCGCUGAAAAGGGAAACCAAAUGGCAGACCAAGAAGCCAAAAAAGCAGCCCAAGGGCAAAUGACUCUGGUGGCAAGAACCCAACAGCCCGCCAACAAGGAAAUAACUAAAAGAGCCCUCAGAGAUGAAGAGGGGCGAGAUUACUUAGAUAACAUACACCAUCUGACUCAUUUAGGAACUAAAAAAUUAAUAAAAUUGGAUAGUGAGUCCCCCUAUUACAUUCCUGGAUUAAAAAGAAUUGUAGAAGAGAUAGUAAAAAACUGCCAUGCUUGUGCACUUACCAACGCUGGGUCUAGCAGGCUCCAGGAAGGAAAACGACUGUGACGAGACAGGCCUAGAGCCUACUGGGAAACCCGACUUCACUGAGGUGAAACCGGCUAAGUAUGGAAAUAAAUAUCUCUUAGUUUUCAUAGACACCUUCUCAGGAUGGGUCAAGGGGUUCCCCACCAAAAAGGAAACAGCUAUUGUAGUGGUCAAGAAGAUACUUGAAGAAAUCCUUCUCCGCUUUGGGAUACCUAAGGUCAUGGGGUCAGACAACGGACCUGCCU
Mus musculus (house mouse) is the source of this 3658-nucleotide long non-coding RNA. RefSeq annotates it as predicted gene, 46491. The transcript has 4 exons. Lineage: Eukaryota; Metazoa; Chordata; Mammalia; Rodentia; Muridae. The record is from RefSeq and is a predicted model, not a curated record.